RNAcentral lists this ribosomal RNA (266 nucleotides) under uncultured bacterium. RNAcentral's name for it is "partial 16S ribosomal RNA". It matches the Rfam family "Bacterial small subunit ribosomal RNA", at positions 793 to 1055 of the family's 1533-position model. The record is from RNAcentral.
GUCCACGCUGUAAACGAUGGACACUAGGUGUCGGGGGUAUCCACUCCCUCGGUGCCGCCGCUAACGCAUUAAGUGUCCCGCCUGGGAAGUACGGCCGCAAGGUUAAAACUCAAAGGAAUUGACGGGGGCCCGCACAAGCGGUGGAGCAUGUGGUUCAAUUCGAUGCAACGCGAAAAACCUUACCUGGGUUUGACAUCUGGUGGACCUUCCUGAAAGGGAGGGGUGCCCGCAAGGGAGCGCCAAGACAGGUGCUGCAUGGCUGUCGU